UUCCAAAGUGCGAAACAAUAACAGGAAAUACAUUGCAAUUGGAAAGAAAAAUAUAAUUAUGUCAAGAAUAAAAAACAUCAACCAAUUGUAGCAUUAUACCAUCAAACUGAACCUAAAAACACAUAAUAAGUAAAAUGAAAUCAUCUUAAGUAGUAUUAUAAACCUCUAGCAAUCAUUUCACAUAGAAGUUUCUCUGCUUUAUCAUUCUCAUCCUUCUCAAAGAGAGCAUAAAUAAUGGUUUCAUAAGUUAUAGCAUUAGGAAUACAACCAUUGUCUUCCAUUUUUGACAUCAAGAUGAUAGCUUCAUCAAAUAAGCCCUCUAAACAAAGACCAUUGAUCAUAAUAGUAUAUGUCCAAACAUUUACAUUGUAGCCUUUAAUCAAAAGAUCAUGAAAAAUCACUUGUGCGUCCAGAAAUCUCCCUUGUUUGCAAAGUCCAUCCAUGAGUAUAUUGUAUGUGCGCAUAUCUGGUUGAAUGCCUUUGUCUUUAAUUUUCUUGACCAAUGCAAUUGCCUUAUCAACAUGACAGUUUUUACAUAAAGCAUGUAAUAAAGAAUUGUAAGUGAUUACAUUGGCAGGUUGACCCCUAUCUUGCAUCUCAUCAAGAAGCUCCCAAGCAUGAGAGAUUCUCCCUGAUUUGCACAAACCAUCAAUAAGAGAACUGUAAGUUACUCUAUCAGGAAUAAUCUUCUUGUUUUGCAUUUCUUGAAAUAGAUUCAUGGCUUCAUCCAUCAUUUUAAUCUUACACAACCCAUUAAUCAUGACAUUAUAGCAACAAACAUUAGGAAUCACUCCUCUUUGAACCAUGGUGUUGAAUAUAACUUUGGCCUUGUUGACUUCAUUAACUAGGCAAUACCCAUCUAGAAAUGAAGUAUAAGUAACAACAUUUGGUUUGAUACCUUGUUUCACCAUAACAGCUAACACAUUUUUAGCUUCUUUGACAUUUCCUUCCUUGCAUAAAGCAUCGAGCAAUAUACUAAAGAUAUAAACAUCUNNNNNAUGCAAAAUCCAUAUAUCAGAGAAGUGUAAGUAAUAACAUCAGGAGAAAUGCCCUUUACAAUCAUUUCAGAAUAUAAAUCCUUAGCAUCUAUUAAAAGCUUAUCUUUACACAAACUAUCAAUAAUUGUGCUGUAUAUUACCACAUCAGGUUUGACCAAUUUCCCUUCGAUUCGUCUUAGAACUUGCAAGGCAGCCCUUGUUUCUCCAAUUUUACAGAGUCCAUUGAUCAAGGUCCCGUAGCUAACUUGAUCGAGGUGAAAUCCAUGUGCAAGCACAUGGUCGUGAAAAUGCAGAGCUUCUUUCACCUUAUCGUUGAAACACAGACCUUUGAUAAGAGUAUUUAAGGUUAUGACAUCAGGCUGAUAACCCAACUUGAGAAUCUUAGCCAAUAUAGAAAAGGCAAAAGUCAUAUGACCGACGUGGCAGUAACAAUUGAUCAAUAUAUUGAAAGUAACAACAUUAGGCAUAAUUCCAUUGAAUUGUAAUUGGUUAGAAAGUGAAAUAGCAGUGGGGUAAUGUUUCAUCUUAACAAGGGAAGUUAAAAUCUUGCAAAAUUGUACAAUGGAUGGGGUUGGAUUCAUACUGAGCAUGUAAUGGAAUGAAGAAACAGCAUUAUUACCAGCAUCAAUAUUAUUGUGAUUGAAUCGAGAAUGAAGGAAAGUGGAAGUUGUGACAUGAGAACGAAGUAAAACUAACCUUGAGAGUGAGAACGACAUGGACAACAUUGUUGGUUGGUUGAUCUAUUAUUAUGUUGUUACUUGUUAGGUUUUCGGAACAACAAAAUGCAAACCCUUCAGAAAAACAAAAACGCAAAGUACAAUGGAAUUCUAAUGUUUUCUUUAUACUUUAAAUCAAUGUUUUAAGAACCGGACCGGAGGUCGAACCGUUGUGACAACUGGUUCAAGGGUCAACCGGUCGGAUCGGUUCAACCGUUAUUGAACCGUUUAUAUUGAACCGUUCAUAUAAUUUUUUCACGNNNNNNNNNNNNNCGGUUCACACCGGUUUUUGACCGGUUCCACUGACUAGCGGUUCUUGCUAGUCGUCCGGACCGCCGAGGGCACCGGUUCGUGGUCGGACCGGCCGGUCCGGUUCGGUUUUUAAAACAUUGCUUUAAAUUUGCAGCACAUACAUGGAGGUAAAACUGGUGAGAACUUGAUUGUGGUGGUCGGAGCCGAGGUAGAAGCUGUUGUCGGAGCUGAUGACGGUGGUCAGGUGACGGCUGGCUUCGACAGCAGUAGCUGGUUAAACUGACCCAAACGGAAAUGCUUCUCAACGUGCAGUUUAAUUCACCUUUUCCUCUUUUUCUCCAGUCUCUCCUCAUACAUCGAUGACUAAGAUGUUACUAUUUCUCUCGAGUAAUUGAGAGAAUUCAUUCUCCUUAUUUUCUAUAUCUUCAGAAAGUUUGACACUCUUUAAACAUUCCAAG
This 2424-nucleotide long non-coding RNA is filed under the name Trifolium pratense (red clover). RNAcentral's name for it is "long non-coding RNA (TPRA_LNC000659)". Lineage: Eukaryota; Viridiplantae; Streptophyta; Magnoliopsida; Fabales; Fabaceae. The record is from RNAcentral.